AUUGAACGCUAGCGGCGUGCUUAACACAUGCAAGUCGAACGGCAGCACAGUAUGUAGCAAUACAUAUGGGUGGCGAGUGGCGGACGGGUGAGUAAUACGUAGGAAUCUACCUUGUAGUGGGGGAUAACCCGGGGAAGCUCGGGCUAAUACCGCAUAAUCUUUACGAAGCAAAGAGGGCCUCUGAAUAUGCUCUUGCUAAAAGAUGAGCCUACGUCGGAUUAGCUAGUUGGUGGGGUAAAGGCCUACCAAGGCGACGAUCCGUAGCUGGUCUGAGAGGAUGAUCAGCCACACUGGGACUGAGACACGGCCCAGACUCCUACGGGAGGCAGCAGUGGGGAAUAUUGGACAAUGGGCGAAAGCCUGAUCCAGCAACGCCGUGUGUGUGAAGAAGGCCUUAGAGUUGUAAAGCACUUUCAGUGGGGAAGAAAAGUUCAAGGCUAAUACCCUUGAAUCUUGACGUUACCCACAGAAGAAGCACUGGCUAACUCUGUGCCAGCAGCCGCCGUAA
Molecule: ribosomal RNA, 508 nt
Filed under: uncultured bacterium
Lineage: Bacteria
Description: partial 16S ribosomal RNA
Rfam family: Bacterial small subunit ribosomal RNA
Source: RNAcentral